AGACAUGGGCACUUUGAAUUUCCACCAUUCACUUUCACCAAUAAGAUGCGAAGACUUCCUUCACAUUUGAAAUUGCAAAAAAAGCUUUUUUUUUUACACAAAGAGGUCUACGAAGACUUGUGGAAAAAGAUGACAUUUGUUGCCUUAUUUGGCAAACAAAAAAUAGAGUACGUCAUAAAAAGUAACCGUUCUGUUAAAUAUUAA
Molecule: ribosomal RNA, 204 nt
Filed under: Triticum aestivum (bread wheat)
Lineage: Eukaryota; Viridiplantae; Streptophyta; Magnoliopsida; Poales; Poaceae
Description: partial small subunit ribosomal RNA
Source: RNAcentral